This is a non-coding RNA of Vanrija pseudolonga, 73 nucleotides long. Lineage: Eukaryota; Fungi; Basidiomycota; Tremellomycetes; Trichosporonales; Trichosporonaceae. The record is from the annotation of a RefSeq genome assembly.
UCCCGAGUCGUCUAGGGGUUAUGGCACUUCACUUGUAAUGAAGGGGUCGGCAGUUCGAAUCUGUCCUCGGGAA